UGCGUGGUAGAGCAGCGGUCAGCUUGUCGGGCUCAUAUCCCGAAGGUCGAUGGUUCGAAUCCAUCCCUCGCAACCA
Molecule: transfer RNA, 76 nt
Filed under: Pseudomonas sp. URMO17WK12:I11
Lineage: Bacteria; Pseudomonadati; Pseudomonadota; Gammaproteobacteria; Pseudomonadales; Pseudomonadaceae
Also listed under: 2 other names
Description: tRNA-Met
Rfam family: tRNA
About the family: Transfer RNA (tRNA) molecules are approximately 80 nucleotides in length. Their secondary structure includes four short double-helical elements and three loops (D, anti-codon, and T loops).
Source: RNAcentral